RNAcentral lists this long non-coding RNA (416 nucleotides) under Homo sapiens (human). RNAcentral describes it as "HSALNT0161614". Lineage: Eukaryota; Metazoa; Chordata; Mammalia; Primates; Hominidae. The record is from RNAcentral.
UUCCAUUCCAUUCCAAUCAAUUACAUUGCAAUCCAUUACAUUCGAGUCCGUUCUAUUCCAGUCCAUUCCAUUCCGGUCCAUUCCCUUCGAUUCCAUUACUUUCGAUUCCAUUCCAUACUAUUGCAUUCCAUUCGAUUACAUUCUAAUCGAAUACAUUCAUUCAAGACCAUUACUUUCGAGUCCAUUCUAUUUGAGUGCGUUCCAUUCUAGUCCAAUAUAUUUGGGUCCAUUCAUUCCAUUCCAUUCCAUUGCGUUCCAUUAUAUUACUUUCCUUUCCAUUUGUGUCCAUUCGAUUCCAUUCCAUUCGAUACCAUUCCAUUCUAUUAAAUUCCAUUUGAGUCCAUUGCAUUCGAGUCCAUUCCUUCCCAUUCCAUUCCAUUCCAUUCCGUUCCAUUCCAUUCGAUGCCAUUCCAUUC